RNAcentral lists this ribosomal RNA (834 nucleotides) under uncultured archaeon. RNAcentral describes it as "bacterial SSU rRNA". It matches the Rfam family "Archaeal small subunit ribosomal RNA", at positions 19 to 859 of the family's 1478-position model. The record is from RNAcentral.
GGACCUGACUGCUAUCGGAUUGAUACUAAGCCAUGCGAGUCAUUGUAGCAAUACAAGGCAGACGGCUCAGUAACGCGUAGUCAACCUAACCUAUGGACGGGAAUAACCUCGGGAAACUGAGAAUAAUGCCCGAUAGAACACUAUACCUGGAAUGGUUUGUGUUCCAAAUGAUUUAUCGCCGUAGGAUGGGACUGCGGCCUAUCAGUUUGUUGGUGAGGUAAUGGCCCACCAAGACUAUUACAGGUACGGGCUCUGAGAGGAGUAGCCCGGAGAUGGGUACUGAGACACGGACCCAGGCCCUAUGGGGCGCAGCAGGCGAGAAAACUUUGCAAUGUGCGAAAGCACGACAAGGUUAAUCCGAGUGGUUUGUGCUAAACAGACCUUUUGUUAGUCCUAGAAACACUAACGAAUAAGGGGUGGGCAAGUUCUGGUGUCAGCCGCCGCGGUAAAACCAGCACCUCAAGUGGUCAGGAUGAUUAUUGGGCCUAAAGCAUCCGUAGCCGGCUCUGUAAGUUUUCGGUUAAAUCUGUAUGCUCAACAUACAGGCUGCCGGGAAUACUGCAGAGCUAGGGAGUGGGAGAGGUAGACGGUACUCGGUAGGAAGGGGUAAAAUCCUUUGAUCUAUUGAUGACCACCUGUGGCGAAGGCGGUCUACCAGAACACGUCCGACGGUGAGGGAUGAAAGCUGGGGGAGCAAACCGGAUUAGAUACCCGGGUAGUCCCAGCUGUAAACUAUGCAAACUCAGUGAUGCAUUGGCUUGUGGCCAAUGCAGUGCUGCAGGGAAGCCGUUAAGUUUGCCGCCUGGGAAGUACGUACGCAAGUAUGAAACUUAA